GAUGAACGCUAGCGGCAGGCCUAACACAUGCAAGUCGAGGGGUAGGGUUAGCUUGCUAACUUGAGACCGGCGCACGGGUGCGUAACGCGUAUGCAAUCUACCUUGUACAGAGGGAUAGCCCAGAGAAAUUUGGAUUAAUACCUCAUAGUAUCUUUACCUGGCAUCGGGUAAUUAUUAAAGUUCCAACGGUACAAGAUGAGCAUGCGUCCCAUUAGUUAGUUGGUAAGGUAACGGCUUACCAAGACAAUGAUGGGUAGGGGUCCUGAGAGGGAGAUCCCCCCACACUGGUACUGAGACACGGCCCAGACUCCUACGGGAGGCAGCAGUAGGGAAUAUUGGACAAUGGGCGGAAGCCUGAUCCAGCCAUCCCGCGUGCAGGAAUAAGGCCCUAUGGGGUUGUAAAACUGCUUUUUAAUAGGGGAAGAAAAAGCCCCCGUUUAGGGGUGUUGACGGUACCUAAAGAAUAAGCACCGGCUAACUCCGUG
RNAcentral lists this ribosomal RNA (485 nucleotides) under uncultured bacterium. Its description in RNAcentral is "bacterial SSU rRNA". It matches the Rfam family "Bacterial small subunit ribosomal RNA", at positions 28 to 507 of the family's 1533-position model. The record is from RNAcentral.